Molecule: ribosomal RNA, 579 nt
Filed under: Pseudomonas sp. CSeC15_25
Lineage: Bacteria; Pseudomonadati; Pseudomonadota; Gammaproteobacteria; Pseudomonadales; Pseudomonadaceae
Description: bacterial SSU rRNA
Rfam family: Bacterial small subunit ribosomal RNA
Source: RNAcentral
CAAGUCGAGCGGUAGAGAGAAGCUUGCUUCUCUUGAGAGCGGCGGACGGGUGAGUAAUGCCUAGGAAUCUGCCUGGUAGUGGGGGAUAACGUUCGGAAACGGACGCUAAUACCGCAUACGUCCUACGGGAGAAAGCAGGGGACCUUCGGGCCUUGCGCUAUCAGAUGAGCCUAGGUCGGAUUAGCUAGUUGGUGGGGUAAUGGCUCACCAAGGCGACGAUCCGUAACUGGUCUGAGAGGAUGAUCAGUCACACUGGAACUGAGACACGGUCCAGACUCCUACGGGAGGCAGCAGUGGGGAAUAUUGGACAAUGGGCGAAAGCCUGAUCCAGCCAUGCCGCGUGUGUGAAGAAGGUCUUCGGAUUGUAAAGCACUUUAAGUUGGGAGGAAGGGCAGUUACCUAAUACGUAAUUGUUUUGACGUUACCGACAGAAUAAGCACCGGCUAACUCUGUGCCAGCAGCCGCGGUAAUACAGAGGGUGCAAGCGUUAAUCGGAAUUACUGGGCGUAAAGCGCGCGUAGGUGGUUUGUUAAGUUGGAUGUGAAAUCCCCGGGCUCAACCUGGGAACUGCAUUCAAAA